GCUCCUGGUACAAGCCAGACAAAAUGGAAGAAUAUAAGAGACUGUUUUGUAAAGGAAUAUAAUUUAGUUAAUUCUUACAUCCCAAGUGGCAGUGCAGCUAAAAAAAAGGAAAGUACUUGGUCCUUUUAUGAAAGUUUACGUUUCCUAGAACCAACAGUAAAUUAUAGAAGAACCAUAAGCAAUAUUGAAAAUGUGGUUCCAUCAUCAUCAUCAUCCUCAGUGGAACAAUCCUUUUCUGCUUCCAGAGCAAAUUAUGCAAAAAAAGACGAUAAUUUAUAUCAGCCACAAAUAUCACAGAAAAGAACUUUAUUAAGGUCACCGUUGAAUCCAAAGCAAAAUUAUUAAAAAGCAAGAACGCUUGAAAAAAAAGAUGAAAAUUAUUCUUAUUGUGAAGAAGCUAUUUUGAGAGAAUUGGAACGUACAAAACCAACAAAUCAAUCUCACGCAAAGCCUGAUAAAAUUGAAUCUUUUACUAAAUAUCUUGAAUCAUGUCUUCGAAGUAUCACUGCAGAUGAUUCCAAACGUAUCAUUAAUCAAAUAUUAAAACUUAUUGCAGAGGCAGAUGUUUAAAAUAAUUUUAAAAAU
This is a long non-coding RNA of Wasmannia auropunctata (little fire ant), 585 nucleotides long. RefSeq lists it as uncharacterized. NCBI's taxonomy places the organism in Eukaryota, Metazoa, Arthropoda, Insecta, Hymenoptera, Formicidae. The record is from RefSeq and is a predicted model, not a curated record. The transcript has 3 exons.